GGGCUACACACGUGCUACAAUGGCGGUGACAGUAGGACGCAAUGGGGCGACCCGGAGCCAAUCCACUAAAAGCCGUCUCAGUUCGGAUUGUACUCUGCAACUCGAGUGCAUGAAGCUGGAAUCGCUAGUAAUCGCGGAUCAGCAUGCCGCGGUGAAUACGUUCCCAGGCCUUGUACACACCGCCCGUCACACCAUGGGAGUUGGAUUCACCCGAAGGCGCUGCGCUAACCCGCAAGGGAGGCAGGCGACCACGGUGGGUUCAGCGACUGGGGUGAAGUCGUAACAAGGUAGCCGUAGGGGAACCUGCGGCUGGAUCACCUCCUUU
This 325-nucleotide non-coding RNA is filed under the name Daphnia magna. RNAcentral describes it as "Bacterial small subunit ribosomal RNA". It matches the Rfam family "Bacterial small subunit ribosomal RNA", at positions 1211 to 1533 of the family's 1533-position model. The record is from Rfam by way of RNAcentral. Lineage: Eukaryota; Metazoa; Arthropoda; Branchiopoda; Diplostraca; Daphniidae.